RNAcentral lists this transfer RNA (80 nucleotides) under Zingiber officinale. RNAcentral's name for it is "tRNA-Glu". It matches the Rfam family "tRNA". From Rfam's summary of the family: Transfer RNA (tRNA) molecules are approximately 80 nucleotides in length. Their secondary structure includes four short double-helical elements and three loops (D, anti-codon, and T loops). The record is from RNAcentral. Lineage: Eukaryota; Viridiplantae; Streptophyta; Magnoliopsida; Zingiberales; Zingiberaceae.
UCCGUUGUAGUCUAGUUGGUUAGGAUACUCGGCUCUCACCCGAGAGACCCGGGUUCGAGUCCCGGGUCCCGGCAACGGAA